Molecule: ribosomal RNA, 497 nt
Filed under: uncultured bacterium
Lineage: Bacteria
Description: partial 16S ribosomal RNA
Rfam family: Bacterial small subunit ribosomal RNA
Source: RNAcentral
GACGAACGCUGGCGGCGUGCCUAAUACAUGCAAGUAGAACGCUGAAGAGAGGAGCUUGCUCUUCUUGGAUGAGUUGCGAACGGGUGAGUAACGCGUAGGUAACCUGCCUUGUAGCGGGGGAUAACUAUUGGAAACGAUAGCUAAUACCGCAUAACAAUAGAUGACACAUGUCAUUUAUUUGAAAGGGGCAAUUGCUCCACUACAAGAUGGACCUGCGUUGUAUUAGCUAGUAGGUGAGGUAACGGCUCACCUAGGCGACGAUACAUAGCCGACCUGAGAGGGUGAUCGGCCACACUGGGACUGAGACACGGCCCAGACUCCUACGGGAGGCAGCAGUAGGGAAUCUUCGGCAAUGGGGGCAACCCUGACCGAGCAACGCCGCGUGAGUGAAGAAGGUUUUCGGAUCGUAAAGCUCUGUUGUAAGUCAAGAACGAGUGUGAGAGUGGAAAGUUCACACUGUGACGGUAGCUUACCAGAAAGGGACGGCUAACUACGUG